RNAcentral lists this ribosomal RNA (513 nucleotides) under Triticum aestivum (bread wheat). Its description in RNAcentral is "partial small subunit ribosomal RNA". The record is from RNAcentral. Lineage: Eukaryota; Viridiplantae; Streptophyta; Magnoliopsida; Poales; Poaceae.
AUGCCGUCUCUUGUCGAUGCAUCAAUUCAUCUGCCCGUGAUCGAGGACGUGAAGCCCUGGUACCAAUUCGCUGAAUUCCUCACCCCAACUAUGCUCGAACUGAAUAUUAUUAGUGCGCUGUCUAAUGUGACAAGCUUGCAGUUGUCCCAGUUUGUGGUCAUGUUGCGUUUGUAUCCGGAUUGUGAGGAUCUUCCUGUAUACAACUUCAAGAACCUAAGAACCUUGUUCCUGGACGAGUGUCAUAUCAGCGAUGACUUCCUCGGGCUGCAGCAAUACCUUCGGAACUUGCAUAACCUGCAGAAGCUCACUUUGUGCUGCUGCAAGGUCUCGAAUUUUGGACCUAGAGUGGAGUUGAUCCAACGCUGCCACUCAUAUUUUGAGGACCUAGCGGAUUUCAAGUGCGAGAACCUUAGGCUUAGUGAAAUCGUAUACCAAGAUGGUGAAGAUGAUGUCCACCUAUUGGUCAAGUUUUUGGAGGGCAUGAGGAAGAAUCUGUCAAACAACAAGAUAUAA